GACAGAGGGUGCAAACGUUGUUCGGAAUUACUGGGCGUAAAGCGUGUGUAGGCGGCCAUGUAAGUCGGGUGUGAAAGCCCCAGGCUCAACCUGGGAAGUGCACUCGAUACUGCGUGGCUUGAGUAUCGGAGAGGUUGGUGGAAUUCUCGGUGUAGAGGUGAAAUUCGUAGAUAUCGAGAGGAACACCGGUGGCGAAGGCGGUCUCCUGGAGCACUCUUGACGCUGAGGCGCGAAAGCUGGGGGAGCGAACGGG
RNAcentral lists this ribosomal RNA (253 nucleotides) under uncultured bacterium. Its description in RNAcentral is "partial 16S ribosomal RNA". It matches the Rfam family "Bacterial small subunit ribosomal RNA", at positions 524 to 776 of the family's 1533-position model. The record is from RNAcentral.